Molecule: ribosomal RNA, 393 nt
Filed under: uncultured bacterium
Lineage: Bacteria
Description: bacterial SSU rRNA
Rfam family: Bacterial small subunit ribosomal RNA
Source: RNAcentral
UGGCGGACGGGUGAGUAUCGCGUGGGAACAUGCCCUUCUGUACGGAACAACCAUUGGAAACGAUGGCUAAUACCGUAUACGCCCUUUGGGGGAAAGAUUUAUCGCAGAAGGAUUGGCCCGCGUUAGAUUAGCUAGUUGGUGAGGUAAGAGCUCACCAAGGCUACGAUCUAUAGCUGGUUUGAGAGGAUGAUCAGCCACACUGGGACUGAGACACGGCCCAGACUCCUACGGGAGGCAGCAGUGGGGAAUAUUGGACAAUGGGGGCAACCCUGAUCCAGCGAUGCCGCGUGAGUGAUGAAGGCCUUAGGGUUGUAAAACUCUUUCAGAUGGGAUGAUAAUGACAGUACCAUCAGAAGAAGCUCCGGCUAACUCCGUGCCAGCAGCCGCGGUAAU